RNAcentral lists this ribosomal RNA (469 nucleotides) under uncultured bacterium. RNAcentral describes it as "bacterial SSU rRNA". It matches the Rfam family "Bacterial small subunit ribosomal RNA", at positions 32 to 518 of the family's 1533-position model. The record is from RNAcentral.
AACGCUGGCGGCGUGCCUAAUACAUGCAAGUCGAGCGAGGAGAUCCUUCGGGAUGAUCCUAGCGGCGGACGGGUGAGUAACACGUGGGCAACCUGCCUCAUAGAGAGGAAUAGCCUUCCGAAAGGGAGAUUAAUACCUCAUAACAUUGCAGUUUCGCAUGGAACAGCAAUUAAAGGAGUAAUCCGCUAUGAGAUGGGCCCGCGGCGCAUUAGCUAGUUGGUGAGGUAACGGCUCACCAAGGCGACGAUGCGUAGCCGACCUGAGAGGGUGAUCGGCCACAUUGGGACUGAGACACGGCCCAGACUCCUACGGGAGGCAGCAGUGGGGAAUAUUGCACAAUGGGGGAAACCCUGAUGCAAGCAACGCCGCGUGAGUGAUGACGGCCUUCGGGUUGUAAAGCUCUGUCUUCAGGGACGAUAAUGACGGUACCUGAGGAGGAAGCCACGGCUAACUACGUGCCAGCCGCAGC